GCGGAGCUCCCAUUUAGGGGUCACAGGAUCAAGAGAAACGUGCCACAAGCUGGAGGCUGUGCAAAACUGGCAGCAAACAUCUCUGGGGAGAGCCCUGCACACAGCCACCCCAACCUCUGGCACCACCACUCUGAUCAGACAGCAGCCAUCAACAUCUAGUCGAGACCCUCCACUAGCAAAGAGAUUAUGACUCACUGAAGGCUCAGAUGAUCAUGAAUAAUUUUCAGAAAUAAAGUACUUUUAAAUUCAGAUGGAGUCUUGCUCUGUUGCCCAGGCUGGAGCACAAUCUCAGUUCACUGAAACCUCCGCCUCCUGGAUUCAAGCAAUUCUCCUGCCUCAGCCUCCUGAGUAGCUGGGAUUGCAGCUACAAUGCCACCAGGUGAUCGGAAUUUUUCAGCUCCAUUAAAAUCUUAUGAGACCAUCACUGAAUAUGUGGUCCGUCAUUGACCAAAACAUCAUGAUGCAGCUCAUGACUAUAGUUCUGUCUCAGAAGAUCCAGGAAAUAGUAGGUUCCUCCGAGGCCGGAAGCCCAUUCAGUAUCUUAGCCAAUGGCAUGUCUUAUAGAUAGAUACAAAUAGUGCAGCCUUUUGCCGAAGAAAUGAUAUCUUGUUUCCUUUGCCAGGAGCUGUGUGCUUGCAACAGUAAUAUAAAUGUGCAGCCCACAUUAGGUACUCAAACAACUUGUCAUUUGUUUGAAAAGGAGCCCUUUAUUUGACUAGAAGAAACAGGAGCCAAAUGAGCUUGAUUCCUUCUCAUGCCAGCCAGCAAUGCAAUUACAGGAAUGGGGACUGGGGAAGGACAAAUUGAUCAGUCACCCAUGCACAUAGGUGCAGGGGCUAUGUACUUGAAGUGGUUGGUUGUGGUUGGGACCCUGCCUUGGUCUGUUAAUUACAUAUUGCAAAAUGGGAUCUCAUAAGUGACUGUAAUUCAUUGGUAAUUUCUUGAGAAAUUACAAUUUUUGACAGGAAAGUUUUUUUUCUUUGUGUCCCCUGAUAAAUUCUCCUGGUUUGUAAAAUCUUUAGAAUUCAUAAUCCUUAGGUAAUGCACUUUGUAGAAACAGCAGGAAUGUGAGGAUUUGCAAACCUCCUUUUCUUCACUGAUGAGUAUAAAAAUGCUGCAGUUUACUUCAACUGUUGAAAGUGGAACUUUCUCCAUAUUUAAGCAGUGGUGUUCUCUUUUCAUGCUGAAAAGCAAUGAAUUGUCAAAAAUGGACAUCUUGCCAUGAAUAAAGAUGACAACUGAGUAGGUGACUCAGAAAUGUGCCUGACAAGAGAGAAAUGGUUUGAAUAUAGAGUGUAUAUAUACUCUUCUACUAAAAACUUGGGAGACCAAACAAGUCUGAUUGCAAUGGGUAACCAACAAACAGGUACAGGGGCAGUAGAUCUCAGUAUGUUCUCAUGAUUCCCAAAUUGCCAACCAAACCUCUUCUGUGUGCUCUUGUUUGUGAGACUAAGAUUCAGCUCUCUUCAGACUAAGAUCACAGCUUGGGUGUGAUUUGAUCCUGCUUCAAGCUGGCAAAGCCUCAGAAGCCCUCUACCAUCAGAAUCCUGCUCAGAGGAAAUAGCUGGAGACCAUUCUUGAAGAACUGUCAUCUUUAGUACUGGAAUUAAGUGUCCUGUUUGGGUCUCACUGACAUGCUAUUCCAGAGACACUCACUGGCUUCUGAAAGCUCAUUCUGGGAUCUGGGAAUGAAACAGAAUUCAGGGAGGAAGCCUUAGAAGAGCCUUAUGUUCAGAGAGACCCUGUGUCCUCUUAAGGGAGCAUCAUUGGUAAACUUCCUACUUCUCAAUUUCCUUAUCUGUAAAAGUUGUUGAAUGAGUUAAAUAGUAUGAUAUGGAAUUCAUAAAGAACUCAAGAUUACCUGCUAUUACUGUGUAAUAUAUUGUUUAUAUUUACAGCACAUACAAAGUACCAGUUUUUCCAUUGUUAAUGUGGAUGUGAAUGUUGCCCUAAAAUAAUCUUGUCUUUUGAUUUGUUAUUCUUCAUCUAUCCUUGCUUCUAUCAUUAUUAAAAAUUUAUCUAUGAAUAAAUUUAGAGAGGAAAUGGAAGUCAUUAUAAAGUUGCAUGUUCAAGCACGGCAAUGAUUCGUAAUUGUCCCAACAGUUAAGUGUACAUCAGUACAGCCCUAACCACACUCACUAAGGCUUUUACACUGAUUACAGAGAUUGUGGGUGCUGAGUUUUCCCCAUGUGUUGCCAUAAAUCUGCUUUUCCUUUCACUUAAGAAGGUACUUAGAAACACAAGAGUGUAAGAAUGAUGUUAUCAAAGACUAACAUUAUAAUCCUUCUAUUCUAUGGAAAAAACAAUUAUUUGUGAAUUUCUGCCAUACUUCACAGCUGGCGAUGGGUCAUGAGAGCUCACUGCCAGACGCCAAGAGCCUGGCUAAGACAAAUGAGAGAAGAAAACUUCUAAGCACGGUGAUGGCAGAAGUGUGUGCCAAUUUGAGUAAUGCUUUUUCUCACAUACUUUCUAUUUUUCCUCUGUCUGGGAACUAGUGCAAGAAAUCUAAAAGAGGAAAACCAGCCUGUUUUCUCUCACUUAUUUGAAUUUACUAGUGUUUGCAAUAGUGUUAAUUUCUGGCUUUAACUGAAGAAUGUUUUUUUGCAGUUUAUUCUCUCAUUUUUCAUUCAUUUAUCCUUUUAUCAACCAGUAUUUCCCUUCCUUUUUUGAGAGGGUUCCUGCAUUAAAUGCUGCAGCUUACUAGGACAAUUCCUGUUCCCCCCAGGAGUUUACAUUCUUCAUGUAAUUCAUAAAAACUUGUCCAUCCACCUUAAUUUAAACAAAUAGUUCUCAGUGGUGCUAGUGGUGGGAGUAAAGGGCUGCUCCCAGAAGACAUUCUUUGGCAAUGUCUGAAGACAUUUGUAAUGACUGAGGGAGGGAGUGCUCCUGGCAUGCCAAGUAGUGAAGAAAUGCUGCUAGAUAAUUCUAGAAUGCUCAGGAGAGCUCUGGGGUAACGUAAAGUAUUAUCCGGUCCCAAAUGAGAAACCCUGUUCUAAACUUUUGCUUGGAACAAGUUUUAUCCUUUACUUAGCACAAUUCUUUAUGUAUAAUAAAGGGAUUUGCCACUUGUUCAUCAACUAAAAGAGGUUCCUAACAUAUUUUAUAGCAUUUCAUAAAUAUUUGUCAAAAGGAUUAAUAUUAAACUGGAUUAAAUUUAAUAAUGCAAUAUAAAGAAUAAUGAUGUGGG
RNAcentral lists this long non-coding RNA (3187 nucleotides) under Homo sapiens (human). RNAcentral's name for it is "PREDICTED lncRNA (TCONS_00194175)". The record is from RNAcentral. Lineage: Eukaryota; Metazoa; Chordata; Mammalia; Primates; Hominidae.